UGAACGGUUAGCUUAAGUUUAAAGUGUUGGAUUUUUAACCCAUGGAUUGAUCCGUUUAU
RNAcentral lists this transfer RNA (59 nucleotides) under Strongyloides procyonis. RNAcentral's name for it is "tRNA-Lys". Lineage: Eukaryota; Metazoa; Nematoda; Chromadorea; Rhabditida; Strongyloididae. The record is from RNAcentral.